UCUUAGUGGCGGACGGGUGAGUAACGCGUGGGUAACCUGCCUUAUACAGGGGGAUAACACUUAGAAAUAGGUGCUAAUACCGCAUAAGCGCACGGGGCUGCAUGGCCCAGUGUGAAAAACUCCGGUGGUAUAAGAUGGACCCGCGUCUGAUUAGCUUGUUGGCGGGGUAACGGCCCACCAAGGCGACGAUCAGUAGCCGGCCUGAGAGGGUGGACCGGCCACAUUGGGACUGAGACACGGCCCAAACUCCUACGGGAGGCAGCAG
Molecule: ribosomal RNA, 265 nt
Filed under: uncultured bacterium
Lineage: Bacteria
Description: partial 16S ribosomal RNA
Rfam family: Bacterial small subunit ribosomal RNA
Source: RNAcentral